RNAcentral lists this ribosomal RNA (487 nucleotides) under Bacillus subtilis. RNAcentral describes it as "bacterial SSU rRNA". It matches the Rfam family "Bacterial small subunit ribosomal RNA", at positions 394 to 871 of the family's 1533-position model. Lineage: Bacteria; Bacillati; Bacillota; Bacilli; Caryophanales; Bacillaceae. The record is from RNAcentral.
ACGCCGCGUGAGUGAUGAAGGUUUUCGGAUCGUAAAGCUCUGUUGUUAGGGAAGAACAAGUACCGUUCGAAUAGGGCGGUACCUUGACGGUACCUAACCAGAAAGCCACGGCUAACUACGUGCCAGCAGCCGCGGUAAUACGUAGGUGGCAAGCGUUGUCCGGAAUUAUUGGGCGUAAAGGGCUCGCAGGCGGUUUCUUAAGUCUGAUGUGAAAGCCCCCGGCUCAACCGGGGAGGGUCAUUGGAAACUGGGGAACUUGAGUGCAGAAGAGGAGAGUGGAAUUCCACGUGUAGCGGUGAAAUGCGUAGAGAUGUGGAGGAACACCAGUGGCGAAGGCGACUCUCUGGUCUGUAACUGACGCUGAGGAGCGAAAGCGUGGGGAGCGAACAGGAUUAGAUACCCUGGUAGUCCACGCCGUAAACGAUGAGUGCUAAGUGUUAGGGGGUUUCCGCCCCUUAUUGCUGCAGCUAACGCGUUAAGCACUCCG